RNAcentral lists this long non-coding RNA (1601 nucleotides) under Homo sapiens (human). RNAcentral describes it as "HSALNT0108226". Lineage: Eukaryota; Metazoa; Chordata; Mammalia; Primates; Hominidae. The record is from RNAcentral.
CUUUGUGUUCUUGAGAAUAAGACACCUUUGCUCCAGGGCUUAGUGAGCAGGGCCUGAACUGGAGUUCCCUCCCACCACCUUAACUGAACUCUUCAUGCAGGACACAGCAUGUACAACCUCACAUAGAGUUCCUGACCAGACAAGACUUGCUGGAAAUUUCCCAGGAUCUUCCUUCCUUAAGAUGUCUCUGUGUUAGGAAAACUUGGAUAAGCAGGUCCAUAGAAAUUCCUCUGCUAGCCCUGUCUCCUGGAAUUUCUACAUAAUGGCAUAUCCUCAGAGGAAUCAAAAGAAGGAGGAAGAAUAGAAUGAUUUGGAGGAAAAGAAGGAGAAAGUAGAGGAGUUGAAAAAAAGGAAGAAAAAGAAAAAUGCAGAAUCCUUUGUCAAUCCAACAGAACACAGCAAAAAAGCAAAGAAAGUGAAAGAUGUUCAUGGCAUGGAUGAAUGGAGAGGGCCACAAAGCAUGGUCCCUGUAUUUUUUGGCUCCUCCGCAAAUACUAAAGACUUGGACAAGGACAGCUCUCCUAUUGUAAUCAUGGCCAGAAAUGGGUUUACUCUGAAACUAAUGAAGAAGAUUAAUUCCUAGUAAAGUGUUCACAUGUUCAUACGCUUUUGUAAAAUUUGCUAAAGUAAGAUAUUCUUAUUGCAAUUGGGUAAUGCUAUUGUCAUCUUCUACCACGACUUCUCCUGCAUCAUACUCCUCCUCUGGCAGAAGGUCCCAGAGCAGCCAUGGAGAAGUGCUGGGUCCAGCAUAAUAUACUUACAUGGUUCACAGCCAACUCCAUGUAUAGUUAGAUUGGUUGCCACUGCAUAGUUUGCUUCCAGAAAAACUUCUACCAUCUCCUAUGACUGUUCAUCUUGCAUAUUACACAAAGGUGCCUACAAUUCCUACUUUCAGAACAUGUAAGCAGUGAAAGAUAAAUGAGGAAUGAGGCUUGAAAUACCUGGAAACAUAAUUUCAUCUUCCAAUAAUCAGAUAUCUAAAAUUGUGAGAGUUAGGCUUUUACUGAUUCUCAAUCAAAACAAAAGUUCUCUCCCACCAAAACAUGUACUCAAUAAUGGCCUAAAAUCUCAUAAUUUGUAUAUGAAAGAAACAUUAGAGAUUUUUCCAAAUUUGGCAACAAUGCUUAAAAUUUCAGGACAUUACCCAAAACAAGUUAUAAAGGCAGAAAGUUUCUAAGUAAUUGCAUUCUAUAAAGUUCAAUCAGACAUGCUUGAGGAAAGACUAAAUUACCUCACUACUGUCUUUAUUACAAAUAUUAUAAAAAUUGAUGUCUCAUGAAAAGUUGAUUGAUAGAUUACAGCCAAAAAAUGAAAAGAUGUAUUAGGGAGUUAAGUAAUUUUAUAUAUAUAUAUAUACACACACACACACACACACAUACAUAUAUAAUGUGUAUUACAUAUUAUAUAUGUGUAUAUAUACAAAUAUACAUAUAUAUGUAUGUAGAUAUACAUGUGUACUAUAUAUACACAUUAUAAUAUAAACAUUAUAUAUAAAUAUAUAUAAUUUUUCAGGAUUCUUCUAUUUGUGGUAUUUGUUAGCUUUUAAAAGUUAUACUUAGAUGUGAUUUCUUUCGCAUUCUAAAUAAACAUUUAUAUUUGUA